CCAAAAACUGCAAAAUUUCCUUAAAAUUACCAAUUAAGUGGCAGCAACCCAACAAUGGUUGGUUUGAUUCAUCUGAAAAUUUCAGGGCUGAUAGAUCUUGACCUAAUGAACAUUUUUACUCCAUCUCAGAUUUGCUCUAAAUGCUUUCGUUUUUGAGAUAUAAGCCAAAAACUGCAUUUGACCCCUAUGUUCUAUUUUAAGUAACGGCGGCCAUGUUUUUUGACGGACCAAAAAUCGAAGCACACACUUUGUGCAGGAUAAUCUAAGGAACAAUCAUGCUAAGUUUCAUUCAAAUCCAUUCAGUAGUUUCAGAGGAGAAGAUGUUUGAAAAAUUGUUAACGACGACGACGACGACGACGACGACGACGGACGCCAAGUGAUGAGAAAAGCUCACAUGGCCUUUUAGGCCAGGUGAGCUAAAAAAGUUCUCUCAGAACAU
RNAcentral lists this long non-coding RNA (439 nucleotides) under Mytilus galloprovincialis (Mediterranean mussel). Lineage: Eukaryota; Metazoa; Mollusca; Bivalvia; Mytilida; Mytilidae. The record is from RNAcentral.